This 467-nucleotide ribosomal RNA is filed under the name uncultured bacterium. Its description in RNAcentral is "partial 16S ribosomal RNA". It matches the Rfam family "Bacterial small subunit ribosomal RNA", at positions 28 to 506 of the family's 1533-position model. The record is from RNAcentral.
GACGAACGCUGGCGGCGUGCUUAACACAUGCAAGUCGAACGGAAAGGCCCUGCUUUUGUGGGGUGCUCGAGUGGCGAACGGGUGAGUAACACGUGAGUAACCUGCCCUUGACUUUGGGAUAACUUCAGGAAACUGGGGCUAAUACCGGAUAGGAGCUCCUGCUGCAUGGUGGGGGUUGGAAAGUUUCGGCGGUUGGGGAUGGACUCGCGGCUUAUCAGCUUGUUGGUGGGGUAGUGGCUUACCAAGGCUUUGACGGGUAGCCGGCCUGAGAGGGUGACCGGCCACAUUGGGACUGAGAUACGGCCCAGACUCCUACGGGAGGCAGCAGUGGAGAAUAUUGCACAAUGGGAGGAAGCCUGAUGCAGCAACGCCGCGUGCGGGAUGACGGCCUUCGGGUUGUAAACCGCUUUCGCCUGUGACGAAGCGUGAGUGACGGUAAUGGGUAAAGAGACACCGGCUAACUACGU